This 468-nucleotide ribosomal RNA is filed under the name uncultured bacterium. RNAcentral describes it as "partial 16S ribosomal RNA". It matches the Rfam family "Bacterial small subunit ribosomal RNA", at positions 28 to 507 of the family's 1533-position model. The record is from RNAcentral.
GACGAACGCUGGCGGCGUGCUUAACACAUGCAAGUCGAACGGAAAGGCCCUGCUCUUGUGGGGUGCUCGAGUGGCGAACGGGUGAGUAACACGUGAGUAACCUGCCCUUGACUUUGGGAUAACUUCAGGAAACUGGGGCUAAUACCGGAUAGGAGCUCCUGCUGCAUGGUGGGGGUUGGAAAGUUUCGGCGGUUGGGGAUGGACUCGCGGCUUAUCCGCUUGUUGGUGGGGUAGUGGCUUACCAAGGCUUUGACGGGUAGCCGGCCUGAGAGGGUGACCGGCCACAUUGGGACUGAGAUACGGCCCAGACUCCUACGGGAGGCAGCAGUGGGGAAUAUUGCACAGUGGGUGGAAGCCUGAUGCAGCAACGCCGCGUGCGGGAUGACGGCCUUCGGGUUGUAAACCGCUUUCGCCUGUGACGAAGCGUGAGUGACGGUAAUGGGUAAAGAAGCACCGGCUAACUACGUG